AGCUGGCUCCUCUGCUCUUUCUUCGACACCCUUUGACCAACCGCUAUCAGUCUUUGAAAAACCCAUGCGGUGCAGUGUGUGACGGUUGAUGGUGUCAGAAUGAGAUAACCUAGUAACUGCCUCCCCCUCAAAACUAACUCCGAACCUCCUAAAGACCAGGUUGAGUGCCAUACCAUAAGGCAAGUGAGCAUUAGACCUGUUUAGGGUCUCUCUCAUGGCCUCAAACAUCAAAGC
Molecule: long non-coding RNA, 234 nt
Filed under: Elaeis guineensis (African oil palm)
Lineage: Eukaryota; Viridiplantae; Streptophyta; Magnoliopsida; Arecales; Arecaceae
Description: long non-coding RNA (EGUI_LNC062517)
Source: RNAcentral